UUUAAAGUAGUUUAUAAUAAAAUAUUAAUUUGUGGUGUUAAAGAAGUUUUUAUUAAAUCUUAAGU
Molecule: transfer RNA, 65 nt
Filed under: Amaga expatria
Lineage: Eukaryota; Metazoa; Platyhelminthes; Tricladida; Geoplanidae
Description: tRNA-His
Source: RNAcentral